This 2555-nucleotide ribosomal RNA is filed under the name Escherichia coli. Its description in RNAcentral is "partial 23S ribosomal RNA". It matches the Rfam family "Bacterial large subunit ribosomal RNA", at positions 391 to 2925 of the family's 2925-position model. Lineage: Bacteria; Pseudomonadati; Pseudomonadota; Gammaproteobacteria; Enterobacterales; Enterobacteriaceae. The record is from RNAcentral.
CACAUAUUGUGAGCUCGAUGAGUAGGGCGGGACACGUGGUAUCCUGUCUGAAUAUGGGGGGACCAUCCUCCAAGGCUAAAUACUCCUGACUGACCGAUAGUGAACCAGUACCGUGAGGGAAAGGCGAAAAGAACCCCGGCGAGGGGAGUGAAAAAGAACCUGAAACCGUGUACGUACAAGCAGUGGGAGCCUCUUAAUGGGGUGACUGCGUACCUUUUGUAUAAUGGGUCAGCGACUUAUAUUCUGUAGCAAGGUUAACCGAAUAGGGGAGCCGAAGGGAAACCGAGUCUUAACUGGGCGUUAAGUUGCAGGGUAUAGACCCGAAACCCGGUGAUCUAGCCAUGGGCAGGUUGAAGGUUGGGUAACACUAACUGGAGGACCGAACCGACUAAUGUUGAAAAAUUAGCGGAUGACUUGUGGCUGGGGGUGAAAGGCCAAUCAAACCGGGAGAUAGCUGGUUCUCCCCGAAAGCUAUUUAGGUAGCGCCUCGUGAAUUCAUCUCCGGGGGUAGAGCACUGUUUCGGCAAGGGGGUCAUCCCGACUUACCAACCCGAUGCAAACUGCGAAUACCGGAGAAUGUUAUCACGGGAGACACACGGCGGGUGCUAACGUCCGUCGUGAAGAGGGAAACAACCCAGACCGCCAGCUAAGGUCCCAAAGUCAUGGUUAAGUGGGAAACGAUGUGGGAAGGCCCAGACAGCCAGGAUGUUGGCUUAGAAGCAGCCAUCAUUUAAAGAAAGCGUAAUAGCUCACUGGUCGAGUCGGCCUGCGCGGAAGAUGUAACGGGGCUAAACCAUGCACCGAAGCUGCGGCAGCGACACUAUGUGUUGUUGGGUAGGGGAGCGUUCUGUAAGCCUGUGAAGGUGGCCUGUGAGGGUUGCUGGAGGUAUCAGAAGUGCGAAUGCUGACAUAAGUAACGAUAAAGCGGGUGAAAAGCCCGCUCGCCGGAAGACCAAGGGUUCCUGUCCAACGUUAAUCGGGGCAGGGUGAGUCGACCCCUAAGGCGAGGCCGAAAGGCGUAGUCGAUGGGAAACAGGUUAAUAUUCCUGUACUUGGUGUUACUGCGAAGGGGGGACGGAGAAGGCUAUGUUGGCCGGGCGACGGUUGUCCCGGUUUAAGCGUGUAGGCUGGUUUUCCAGGCAAAUCCGGAAAACCAAGGCUGAGGCGUGAUGACGAGGCACUACGGUGCUGAAGCGACAAAUGCCCUGCUUCCAGGAAAAGCCUCUAAGCAUCAGGUAACAUCAAAUCGUACCCCAAACCGACACAGGUGGUCAGGUAGAGAAUACCAAGGCGCUUGAGAGAACUCGGGUGAAGGAACUAGGCAAAAUGGUGCCGUAACUUCGGGAGAAGGCACGCUGAUAUGUAGGUGAAGCGACUUGCUCGUGGAGCUGAAAUCAGUCGAAGAUACCAGCUGGCUGCAACUGUUUAUUAAAAACACAGCACUGUGCAAACACGAAAGUGGACGUAUACGGUGUGACGCCUGCCCGGUGCCGGAAGGUUAAUUGAUGGGGUUAGCGGUAACGCGAAGCUCUUGAUCGAAGCCCCGGUAAACGGCGGCCGUAACUAUAACGGUCCUAAGGUAGCGAAAUUCCUUGUCGGGUAAGUUCCGACCUGCACGAAUGGCGUAAUGAUGGCCAGGCUGUCUCCACCCGAGACUCAGUGAAAUUGAACUCGCUGUGAAGAUGCAGUGUACCCGCGGCAAGACGGAAAGACCCCGUGAACCUUUACUAUAGCUUGACACUGAACAUUGAGCCUUGAUGUGUAGGAUAGGUGGGAGGCUUUGAAGUGUGGACGCCAGUCUGCAUGGAGCCGACCUUGAAAUACCACCCUUUAAUGUUUGAUGUUCUAACGUUGGCCCGUAAUCCGGGUUGCGGACAGUGUCUGGUGGGUAGUUUGACUGGGGCGGUCUCCUCCUAAAGAGUAACGGAGGAGCACGAAGGUUGGCUAAUCCUGGUCGGACAUCAGGAGGUUAGUGCAAUGGCAUAAGCCAGCUUGACUGCGAGCGUGACGGCGCGAGCAGGUGCGAAAGCAGGUCAUAGUGAUCCGGUGGUUCUGAAUGGAAGGGCCAUCGCUCAACGGAUAAAAGGUACUCCGGGGAUAACAGGCUGAUACCGCCCAAGAGUUCAUAUCGACGGCGGUGUUUGGCACCUCGAUGUCGGCUCAUCACAUCCUGGGGCUGAAGUAGGUCCCAAGGGUAUGGCUGUUCGCCAUUUAAAGUGGUACGCGAGCUGGGUUUAGAACGUCGUGAGACAGUUCGGUCCCUAUCUGCCGUGGGCGCUGGAGAACUGAGGGGGGCUGCUCCUAGUACGAGAGGACCGGAGUGGACGCAUCACUGGUGUUCGGGUUGUCAUGCCAAUGGCACUGCCCGGUAGCUAAAUGCGGAAGAGAUAAGUGCUGAAAGCAUCUAAGCACGAAACUUGCCCCGAGAUGAGUUCUCCCUGACUCCUUGAGGGUCCUGAAGGAACGUUGAAGACGACGACGUUGAUAGGCCGGGUGUGUAAGCGCAGCGAUGCGUUGAGCUAACCGGUACUAAUGAACCGUGAGGCUUAACCUUA